Molecule: ribosomal RNA, 433 nt
Filed under: uncultured bacterium
Lineage: Bacteria
Description: partial 16S ribosomal RNA
Rfam family: Bacterial small subunit ribosomal RNA
Source: RNAcentral
AACGAACGCUGGCGGCAUGCCUAACACAUGCAAGUCGAACGAGAACUUCGGGUCUAGUGGCGCACGGGUGCGUAACGCGUGGGAACCUGCCCUUAGGUUCCGAAUAACUCCCCGAAAGGGGUGCUAAUACAGGAUAAUGCCUUCGGGCCAAAGAUUUAUCGCUUUUGGAUGGGCGCGUGUUGGAUUCGCUGGUUGGUAGGGUAAAAGCCUACCAAGGCGACGAUCCAUAGCUGGUCUGAGAGGAUGAUCAUCCACGCUGGGCCUGAGACACGGCCCAGACUCCGACGGGAGGCAGCAGUGGGGAACAUUGGACAAUGGGCGAAAGCCUGAUCCAGCAAUGCCGCGUGAGUGAUGAAGGCCUUAGGGUUGUAAAGCUCUUUUACCCGGGAUGAUAAUGACAGUACCGGGAGAAUAAGCACCGGCUAACUCCGUG